AAACCGACACAGGUGGUCAGGUAGAGAAUACUAAGGCGUACGAGAUAACUAUGGUUAAGGAACUCGGCAAAAUACCCCCGUAACUUCGGGAGAAGGGGGACCUCGCUUGGUGACCGGACUUGCUCCGUGAGCUGAACGAGGUCGCAGAGACCAGUGAGAAGCGACUGUUUACUAAAAACACAGGUCCGUGCGAAGUCGCAAGACGAUGUAUACGGACUGACGCCUGCCCGGUGCUGGAAGGUUAAGAGGACCCGUUAACCCUUGGGUGAAGCGGAGAAUUUAAGCCCCAGUAAACGGCGGUGGUAACUAUAACCAUCCUAAGGUAGCGAAAUUCCUUGUCGGGUAAGUUCCGACCUGCACGAAUGGCGUAACGACUUCUCAACUGCCUCAACCAUAGACUCGGCGAAAUUGCACUACGAGUAAAGAUGCUCGUUACGCGCGGCAGGACGAAAAGACCCCGGGACCUUCACUAUAGCUUGGUAUUGGCGUUUGGUUCGGUUUGUGUAGGAUAGGUGGGAGACUGUGAAGCAGGCACGCCAGUGUUUGUGGAGUCAUCGUUGAAAUACCACUCUGAUCGUAUUGAACCUCUAACCUCGGACCGUAUAUCCGGUCCAGGGACAGUGCCUGGUGGGUAGUUUUAACUGGGGCGG
This 650-nucleotide ribosomal RNA is filed under the name Mycobacteroides abscessus. Its description in RNAcentral is "bacterial LSU rRNA". It matches the Rfam family "Bacterial large subunit ribosomal RNA", at positions 1651 to 2282 of the family's 2925-position model. The record is from RNAcentral. Lineage: Bacteria; Bacillati; Actinomycetota; Actinomycetes; Mycobacteriales; Mycobacteriaceae.